RNAcentral lists this long non-coding RNA (356 nucleotides) under Phascolarctos cinereus (koala). Its description in RNAcentral is "lncRNA (ENSPCIG00000024576.2)". The record is from RNAcentral. Lineage: Eukaryota; Metazoa; Chordata; Mammalia; Diprotodontia; Phascolarctidae.
UAAGCAUACAUGAUGGAUUUACUUUCAGAUAUGAAUAAGAAUGAAAUUGAAACUGAGGACUUUCCCGGUUUGUUCUACUCUGUACUGCCGUUAAAAACAACAACAUCAGCAACAACAACAUGUAUAUAAUUGAGGGCAGGAAACCAGAUAGAUGACUCAAUUUAAGUCCUCCCCAUCCCUCAGUGGAAGAAUGAGUCAACUCUAUUUUUCAAGGAUAAGAAAGCAGGCACAUGGAUUGAGAAGCUGCCAAAAGAGACCAAAAAUUGAGUGCACAGCAACGUUCUCCAGGGUUAGUACUGAAUCCUGUCCUGUGUAACAGUUAAUGAUACCAGGAAAAGGGUGGGGGAAGAUUGGCG